Anas platyrhynchos (mallard) is the source of this 1204-nucleotide non-coding RNA. NCBI's taxonomy places the organism in Eukaryota, Metazoa, Chordata, Aves, Anseriformes, Anatidae. The record is from RefSeq and is a predicted model, not a curated record.
AAGGCCCCGCCGGGGGCAGCGGGGGGCUGGGAUCCCGGGGGAGGGGUGGGGGGGGAUGAGGACGCCGGGAUGGGGGUCCCCAGCCGGCCCCGCAGCCCCCCCAGCUCCCUGCCUGCCUCUGCGGGCACCGCAGGGCGAGCCCCGGGCGAGGCUGACCCCGCAGAGGCCGUGCCCCGGCCGGAGACGAGCAGCCCCCCCCGCAGCCCUCCCCGCAGCCUGGCCGCCGAGAUGCUCGCCCUCAGCCCUUGGCUCCUUUUUCCAGCCGUGCUGCCCCAGAGCAUCCGCAGGGGCAGGCGAUCGCUGUCCUCCUGUCCUCCCACCGGGGAGGCAUCGGCUGCCUGGCACCCUGUGGAAGCGGCACCCUGCGAGGCAGUGACGUCCCAGGAGAACCUUUUCUCCGGGAACCCGUCAGAAAGCUUGCGGUGAAUUACCUGGCUCCUGCAUCCCUCUGAUGUGUUGUUCCCUGUUACGGCCUAAACAUGCACGCCUGGGGAACGGAGGCUUUCAUAAAACCAACAGGACUGCACUUGUAGCCGUAGCGUGCUAAGCAGAGAGAAUAUUAUUCACGAAUCCUUUGUUACCAUUAUCAUACCUAUUAGCUAACCCCGUCAGCGAGGGAAGUUUAAGUGGCAAUAAAAGUUGCAAUCCUAUCAUAAGCAGCAAUUACAUUCCAGAUACCAUUCAAAGCAGUACUGAAUGCGACUUGCUGCAAACGUUACGUGUUUGCAAUGUUACGUGUUGGAAAUCCUAAGUGCAAGGCUGGGUCAGAUUACUUGACAGAAAAGGUUCGUGAAGUUGAUUUCCUGGACUUCUGCAAACUCGAAUGAAUAUUGGAAGUCCUUCCCCUAACUUCAGGUUUUAAUAUUGCUAUUUUUAAAUAAAGAAAUCGGUGAGGUGAACGUGCUGAGAGAAAUUGCAUCUGUCACGUAUAGCGUGGCUUCCUGUGACAAGAAUGGUGUUGUGCUCGUGUCACAGAUAAAUGUGUUCAGAGUGGUAAUAUUCAGCGAAAUAAUAUUGCUGAGAGAAUGAACGCAAGCUCUUUGAAACAGCACAAAUGAACGUUACAGCCUUCCUUAGCCUCUAGACAGCUUGAUAGGUGAAGUCAAUUUAAAAUGAUGUUUUGUUGCACUGGAAACUCUGUUGGAUAAAAGCACUGAAACUAAACAAAAAAAAGUGUGUAAAAAAUAAUACUGGUUUCUAAGGA